UGGGGAAUAUUGGACAAUGGGGGCAACCCUGAUCCAGCGAUGCCGCGUGUGCGAAGAAGGCCUGCGGGUUGUAAAGCACUUUGGUUGGGGAAGAAGGUUGGGCGUUGAAUAGAUGCCUGAAUUGACGUUACCCAAAGAACAAGCACCGGCUAACUCUGUGCCAGCAGCCGCGGUAAUACGUAGGGUGCAAGCGUUAAUCGGAAUUACUGGGCGUAAAGCGUGCGCAGGCGGUUAUGUAAGACAGGUGUGAAAUCCCCGGGCUUAACCUGGGAACUGCAUUUGUGACUGCAUAGCUAGAGUACGGUAGAGGGGGAUGGAAUUCCGCGUGUAGCAGUGAAAUGCGUAGAUAUACGGAGGAACACCGAUGGCGAAGGCAAUCCCCUGGACCUGUACUGACGCUCAUGCACGAAAGCGUGGGGAGCAAACAGGAUUAGAUACCCAUGUAGUCCCUGAGCGGGCUGGCAAGGCGCAU
This 472-nucleotide ribosomal RNA is filed under the name uncultured bacterium. Its description in RNAcentral is "bacterial SSU rRNA". It matches the Rfam family "Bacterial small subunit ribosomal RNA", at positions 355 to 825 of the family's 1533-position model. The record is from RNAcentral.